CUACCAUAUACAGACACCAACUAGUAUCCCCUUUAUGAUCUAGCCAGGUCAUUACAGUAUAUACAGUAUCUCUACCAUAUACAGACACCAACUAGUAUCCCCUUUAUGAUCUAGCCAGGCCAUUACAGUAUAUACAGUAUCUCUACCAUAUACAGACAUUUACAGACAACAACUAGUAUCCCCUUUAUGAUCUAGCCAGGUCAUUACAGUAUCUCUACCAUAUACAGACACCAAUUAGUAUCCCCUUUAUGAUCUAGCCAGGUCAUUACAGUAUAUACAGUAUCUCUACCAUAUACAGACACCAACUAGUAUCCCCUUUAUGAUCUAGCCAGGUCAUUACAGUAUAUACAGUAUCUCUACCAUAUACAGACACCAACUAGUACCCCCUUUAUGAUCUAGCCAGGUCAUUACAGUAUAUACAGUAUCUCUACCAUAUACAGACACCAACUAGUAUCCCCUUUAUGAUCUAGCCAGGUCAUUACAGUAUAUACAGUAUCUCUACCAUAUACAGACACCAACUAGUAUCCCCUUUAUGAUCUAGCCUGGCCAUUACAGUAUAUUCUGUAUCUCUACCAUAUACAGACACCAACUAGUAUCCCCUUUAUGAUCUAGCCAGGUCAUUACAGUAUAUACAGUAUCUCUACCAUAUACAGACACCAACUAGUAUCCCCUUUAUGAUCUAGCCAGGUCAUUACAGUAUAUACAGUAUCUCUACCAUAUACAGACACCAACUAGUAUCCCCUUUAUGAUCUAGCCAGGUCAUUACAGUAUAUACAGUAUAUCUACCAUCUAGCCAGGUCAUUACAGUAUAUACAGUAUCUCUACCAUAUACAGACAGCCUUCCAUCUGACAGACACCAACUACUAUCCCCUUCUAUUAUGUUACAUUCAUAUUAGAUGGCAAGACUCUGUAAAAUGAGGUACUUGCUGCUGGACUGUUGCAGUGUUCUACAAUGUGCUCGACAUGGCUGCUAUCAACACGUGUUGUACAAGCAAUGCCUUGUCAAGACAGUCAGCAGGAGAGAUUUCAUGAUGGAUCUGGCAUGUGAGCUUUGUGAGAACCACAUGAACGCAGAGAAAGAAGCUACAGUCACCAAGCAGGAAGCAGGUCCUGCUCUCCCUUUUCCCCCAGACACCACAUCUCCCUCGGGGGAGAAAGAAGCUACAGUCACCAAGCAGGAAGCAGGUCCUGUUCUCUCUCUUCCCCCAGGCACCACAUCUCCCUCGGGGGAGAAAGAAGCUACAGUCACCAAGCAGGAAGCAGGUCCUGUUCUCCCUUUUCCCCCAGGCACCACAUCUCCCUCGGGGGAGAAAGAAGCUACAGUCACCAAGCAGGAAGCAGGUCCUGUUCUCCCUUUUCCCCCAGGCACCACAUCUCCCUCGGGGGAGAAAGAAGCUACAGUCACCAAGCAGGAAGCAGGUCCUGCUCUCCCUUUCCCCAGGCACCACAUCUCCCUCGGGGGAGAAAGAAGCUACAGUCACCAAGCAGGCAGCAGGUCCUGCUCUCCCAUUUCCCCCAGGCACCACAUCUCCCUCGGGGGAGAAAGAAGCUACAGUCACCAAGCAGGAAGCAGGUCCUGCUCUCUCUUUUCCCCCAGGCACCACAUCUCCCUCGGGGGAGAAAGAAGACACAAUGUCAAGUCGGCAGGUGCACACCGAACAAGGCCAGUGAAAACCGAUUAGAUUUGUUUGUGGACGCGAAGCAUAAAGAGAAGAUGGGAUUGAUUCACGUGUAAAGGUGCGGUACAGUGUCUGAUACAAUCAACAAAUUAUUGUUUUAAUAUCUUGUCAUCAAUAUAUUUCCACAAAUAUUUAUUUAUGAAAUUCAUCUUUUACAAUU
RNAcentral lists this long non-coding RNA (1839 nucleotides) under Salmo salar (Atlantic salmon). Its description in RNAcentral is "lncRNA (ENSSSAG00000083543.1)". Lineage: Eukaryota; Metazoa; Chordata; Actinopteri; Salmoniformes; Salmonidae. The record is from RNAcentral.